AGCCAGCUGUAGUCCGUUGGACCCCUCGGCCUCUCCCGGGUCAGGCCUGGUUCUACACACCAAUUUCCCCGGACACAACCAACGCAGAGAGUCCUUCCUGUACCGCUCAGACAGCGACUACGACCUCUCGCCCAAGUCCAUGUCCCGCAACUCAUCCAUUGCAUCUGAACUACACGGUGAUGACUUGAUAGUAACGCCAUUUGCUCAGGUCCUCGCAAGCCUUCGAAGUGUAAGAAACAACUUCACAGUCCUGACCAAUGUCCAAUGUGCUUCCAACAAGAGGUCCCCUGUGGCCACUCAGCCUCCCAUCACCAGAGUCUGCUUGCCAG
Salvelinus namaycush (lake trout) is the source of this 329-nucleotide long non-coding RNA. RefSeq lists it as uncharacterized. The record is from RefSeq and is a predicted model, not a curated record. NCBI's taxonomy places the organism in Eukaryota, Metazoa, Chordata, Actinopteri, Salmoniformes, Salmonidae. The transcript is spliced from 4 exons.